Desmophyllum pertusum is the source of this 75-nucleotide non-coding RNA. Lineage: Eukaryota; Metazoa; Cnidaria; Anthozoa; Scleractinia; Caryophylliidae. The record is from the annotation of a GenBank genome assembly.
UGCCUUGCCGAGCUCAGUGGUAGAGCGUCCGACCAGUGGGCGGAAGGUCAUAGGUUCUGACUCCUGUUGGGGGAA